Mirounga angustirostris (Northern elephant seal) is the source of this 1449-nucleotide long non-coding RNA. RefSeq lists it as uncharacterized. The transcript is spliced from 4 exons. The record is from RefSeq and is a predicted model, not a curated record. Lineage: Eukaryota; Metazoa; Chordata; Mammalia; Carnivora; Phocidae.
UUUAGUGGCAUCCAUUCUUAUGACACAGACAUUGAUUUCUCCAUUUUGUAGGUGAGAAAAUUGAAGUUUCAAGAGUUGAGGGCUUGGACAGUGUGCCUCACAGCCUUGGCCCAGGCGGUGAAAGCUGAGCUACCCCUUGCAACCAGGACAGUGCGCUGCGGACCCCUGCUGGGGGCUCAGGGCUUCUGCGUGGGCACAAUGGAAAAGACUGGGUGGAGAGUCACUGCCCCAGUUCUGCAGGCUGGUCUACUGUGGAUACCAGAUGGGUCACGGAGACUCACACUGACUUUCACAAACUUCAUGAGAUGAAGACGCAACUGCAUCUGUGAUUCUGUCUCUGGAUUGCCCUGUGGAGGCAAACUGCCAGGUGGAACCCUGCAGCCCACUGGGAACAAACCUUUUACCCUGAGAGCUGAACUUGAUUGGACAUUCGGAAGCGGUCACUGAAAGGAAGUAGAAGACCCAUGGCAAUGAUCCAUGAGCAAAACUUCUCUGCUACCCUGGGACACCCAUUCUCCUGUUGGCCACACAGCUUCUGCAGCAGAGCUCACUCUGCAGAUGAAAAUGGUCAAUAGGAGGUCGCACUGCCAGGUCACUUGGCUCAGAAGUCUCCCAGAGGAGCGAGGUCUGGAAACUCUACACCUAACAUGGGGCUGAACUCAGGACCCCAAGAUCAAGAGUCACAUGCUCUACAGACUGAGCCAACCAGUCCCCCUUACUAGUGGGACUUCUGUUGAGUAGUUCAACCAAGAGAACUACAAUGCUAUAAUCCACAUGAGAAAGGCAGGUGACUUUUCUUGUCUAUAAGGAAUCGAAGGGAACUUGCUCACUAUAUCUGGGGCCAACAGUGUAAAGACGCCCUAUACUCUGAAUCCCUGGGUCUCCCAUCGUCCAACAUAGCUUUCCCUUCCUUGUAAUACCAUGAACCCGGUCGGCACCCUCCGAACACAAUCACUGCCUUCGUGUUCAGAAACGCAAGGCCCCACGUUCACGCCGGGCAGUGGCAGUCUAACCAACCCAGACGGCCUUGAGCUGAUUGUCUUUAGCUCUACAACAGCAGAGCUCCGGCUAUGCCGGGUACCACUAGUAGGGGAAAGGGAGCUGCCAGCCCAAUGCGGCUCCAGACUCGUGAGGUUGCAUUUGCUUUCGCACCUGGGCAACUGGUGCACAGGGCAGAGGUGGGGCAGCAGUGGCCCCUGUCAUCCAGGAGGCCAGGGGGAGGCCCCAGAGGUAGGCAGCGGAAGGACUGUCUGAGGGGUCACCGUGCUGCUCUGGACUUCCUGCUGAGGCACCGUGCUCCCCACGUGGAUGUAAUUCUGUGUAAGGACACAAAGCUGUUGUGCAGACAGGACCUCUGUCUCAUUGCAUACUGUGGGGAGGGAUCCUUUUACUUGACGUAUAAAGAGAGACCCCAGUGAGUAGUGCUUAAGCGUAACUGCAGAACGUAUU